Molecule: ribosomal RNA, 449 nt
Filed under: uncultured bacterium
Lineage: Bacteria
Description: partial 16S ribosomal RNA
Rfam family: Bacterial small subunit ribosomal RNA
Source: RNAcentral
AUGCCAGACUCCUACGGGAGGCAGCAGUGGGGGAUAUUGCACAAUGGGGGAAACCCUGAUGCAGCGACGCCGCGUGGGCGAAGAAGUAUUUCGGUAUGUAAAGCCCUAUCAGCAGGGAAGAAGAAAUGACGGUACCUGAGUAAGAAGCACCGGCUAAAUACGUGCCAGCAGCCGCGGUAAUACGUAUGGUGCAAGCGUUAUCCGGAUUUACUGGGUGUAAAGGGAGCGUAGACGGCAGUGCAAGUCCGGAGUGAAAGCCCGGGGCUCAACCCUGGGACUGCUCUGGAAACUGUAAAGCUGGAGUGCGGGAGGGGCAGGCGGAAUUCCUGGUGUAGCGGUGAAAUGCGUAGAUAUUAGGAGGAACACCAGUGGCGAAGGCGGCCUGCUGGACGACAACUGACGGUGAGGCGCGAAAGCGUGGGGAGCAAACAGGAUUAGAUACCCCCGUA